CCUACGGGAGGCUGCAGUGGGGAAUAUUGGGCAAUGGAGGCAACUCUGACCCAGCAAUGCCGCGUGAGUGAUGAAGGUAAUUUUAUUGUAAAGCUCUUUUCUUUGGAACGAAUAAAUGACGGUACCAAAGGAAUAAGCCCCGGCUAACUACGUGCCAGCAGCCGCGGUAAUACGGGGGGUGCAAGCGUUGUCCGGAAUCAUUGGGCGUAAAGAGUUCGUGGGCGGCACGUAAAGUCUGGUGUUAAAGGCAGAGGCUCAACUUCUGUACGGCACUGGAUACUUGCGAGCUAGAAUGCGGUAGAGGUAAAGGGAAUUCCUGGUGUAGCGGUGAAAUGCUUAGAUAUCAGGAGGAACAUCGGUGGCGUAAGCGCUUUACUGGGCCGUAAUUGACGCUGAGGAACGAAAGCCAGGGUAGCAAAUGGGAUUAGAUACCCCAGUAGUC
This 442-nucleotide ribosomal RNA is filed under the name uncultured bacterium. RNAcentral's name for it is "partial 16S ribosomal RNA". It matches the Rfam family "Bacterial small subunit ribosomal RNA", at positions 338 to 795 of the family's 1533-position model. The record is from RNAcentral.